Molecule: ribosomal RNA, 24 nt
Filed under: Ourisia caespitosa
Lineage: Eukaryota; Viridiplantae; Streptophyta; Magnoliopsida; Lamiales; Plantaginaceae
Description: partial 18S ribosomal RNA
Source: RNAcentral
UCGUAGUGAACUGGGGAGGAUCAU